This 498-nucleotide ribosomal RNA is filed under the name uncultured bacterium. RNAcentral describes it as "partial 16S ribosomal RNA". It matches the Rfam family "Bacterial small subunit ribosomal RNA", at positions 29 to 523 of the family's 1533-position model. The record is from RNAcentral.
AUUGAACGCUGGCGGCAUGCUUUACACAUGCAAGUCGAACGGUAACAGGCCGCAAGGUGCUGACGAGUGGCGAACGGGUGAGUAAUGCAUCGGAACGUGCCCAGUCGUGGGGGAUAACGCAGCGAAAGCUGUGCUAAUACCGCAUACGAUCUAUGGAUGAAAGCGGGGGACCGUAAGGCCUCGCGCGAUUGGAGCGGCCGAUGUCAGAUUAGGUAGUUGGGGGGGUAAAGGCCUACCAAGCCGACGAUCUGUAGCUGGUCUGAGAGGACGACCAGCACCACUGGGACAGAGACACGGCCCAGACUCCUACGGGAGGCAGCAGUGGGGAAUUUUGGACAAUGGGCGCAAGCCUGAUCCAGCAAUGCCGCGUGCAGGAAGAAGGCCUUCGGGUUGUAAACUGCUUUUGUACGGAACGAAACGGUCUGGGUUAAUACCCUGGGCUAAUGACGGUACCGUAAGAAUAAGCACCGGCUAACUACGUGCCAGCCGCCGCGGUAA